UUGAAUUUCGGAUCAAUAUGUUGGUCGUGCCUCGGUACGUACUAGUCUUAUUGGUUUCUCCUUUCCGAAAGAACCAUGAUGUCAUUCAUUUGGUGUCGUGGGGAAUCAGGACUGUUACUUUAGAAAAAUUAGAGUUAGNUUAAAGCAGGCUCACGCUUGAAUACAUUAGCAUGGAAUAAUAAAAUAGGUACGUUUGAUUCUAUUUUGUUGGUUUCUAGGAUCGACGUAAUGAUUAAUAGGGAUAGUUGGGGGCAUUAGUAUUCAAUUGUCAGAGGUGAAAUUCUUGGAUUUAUUGAAGACUAACUACUGCGAAAGCAUUUGCCAAGGAUGUUUUCAUUAAUCAAGAACGAAAGUUAGGGGAUCGAAGACGAUCAGAUACCGUCGUAGUCUUAACCAUAAACUAUGCCGACUAGGGAUCGGAUGAUGUUAAUUUUUAAUGACUC
Molecule: ribosomal RNA, 443 nt
Filed under: fungal sp.
Lineage: Eukaryota; Fungi
Description: SSU rRNA
Rfam family: Eukaryotic small subunit ribosomal RNA
Source: RNAcentral